This 294-nucleotide RNase P RNA is filed under the name Candidatus Bathyarchaeota archaeon. Its description in RNAcentral is "RNase P RNA component". It matches the Rfam family "Archaeal RNase P". From Rfam's summary of the family: Ribonuclease P (RNase P) is a ubiquitous endoribonuclease, found in archaea, bacteria and eukarya as well as chloroplasts and mitochondria. Its best characterised activity is the generation of mature 5'-ends of tRNAs by cleaving the 5'-leader elements of precursor-tRNAs. The record is from RNAcentral. Lineage: Archaea; Thermoproteati; Candidatus Bathyarchaeota.
GUGAGCUAACGGACGGCUGUCGGGCCGUAAGGCCUGAGGAAACUCCGCCCACCGCACAGACCGCAACGCCGCAAGGCGUAGGGCGAGAGCCCUGGCUCCAGAACAGAAACGGAACGUCCAUCAAGCCGGUGACGUUGAGGCGUGCUAAGUCGCCGAGUAGGCUUGAUGGAAACGGUGAAACGGCUGUCCUGCGGGGUGGAAGGGCAAGUAGGCGUCGAUGAGUCUGUGCGAGACGCGGGUGGCCCGUAUAGUCGAAUGCCGUCUAAAACAGAAGGCGGGUUACGGUUAGCACAC